CGCUCCUCGGUAACUGGCUGAGGGAGUGACGAGCACGAGCUACCGGAGACAAGGAGGAGCUCCCCUGCGGGUGUUCCUCACAGGGCGCAGAGUUUUACUGGUAUUAAAUAUGUGCAAGUUCUGGCCAUCUAUUUUCAGUCUGGCCUGUGAUCACAGAUUUGGUACUUCUGGAUGUGGGGAUUGGAUGGAUCAUGGCUGAUCGUGAAAGUUAAGAGUUUUUGAUUCCCAAUUCCAAGUUUGAUCUCCUGUUUUGCUAAAGCACAUUCUCCAAGAGGGGUUGCAAGGCAGUUCUACCAUAUUAAAGCUCCUUGCAUUCCUUGGCUCAUGCUCCCAAUCCAUCUUCAAAGCUGGCAGCAUAGCAUCCUCAAAUGUUUCUCUAACUCUGACCUUCCUGCCUUUCUGUAUCACUUACAAGGACCCUUGUGACUAUAUUGGGCCCACCCAGGUAAUCCAGAAUAAUAUCUCCAUUUUGUGGUCAGCUGCUUAGCAACCUUAAUUCCCCUUUACUGUAUAACUUCACAUAUUCACA
This is a long non-coding RNA of Herpailurus yagouaroundi (jaguarundi), 529 nucleotides long. RefSeq lists it as uncharacterized. The transcript has 4 exons. Lineage: Eukaryota; Metazoa; Chordata; Mammalia; Carnivora; Felidae. The record is from RefSeq and is a predicted model, not a curated record.